This is a long non-coding RNA of Cyprinodon tularosa, 656 nucleotides long. RefSeq lists it as uncharacterized. The transcript has 3 exons. The record is from RefSeq and is a predicted model, not a curated record. NCBI's taxonomy places the organism in Eukaryota, Metazoa, Chordata, Actinopteri, Cyprinodontiformes, Cyprinodontidae.
CAUCUCAGGCUGAAGGGGCUGCAUUUGACAAAAAGCAAGAACAAACUCAAGGUAUGUCAGGCGGGUGAUGAAAUAUCCAAAAGAGUCGUUUGGGGGGGAUGUCACUGCGCUGUGAAAGGUUCUGUCUGUAGUAAUUCAUCGCACAGAGAUUUUCAUUUGAUCUAGAAGUAGGACUUUGGUCCUGAUAAGGCCAAGCGAGGAGAGACGUCUGGCUGAAAAAUCUACAUCAGAGACAUGUGAGAGGCUUUCAACCAGAACAUGAGGAGAAAGAGAGGAUCUUCACCUGGUGUAGACGCCGUUCUUCCGACAGAAAGAGUUUUUCACUGACAGCCGUCGGUUGUUGAGCUCCAGAGCGGGGAAGCGGCCUUCGUCGAGGCUGACCAUGUCCCCGUGGGUCAGAGCAUUGCAAUUAGAGUUGUUACCUGGACACACGUAGAGACACACUGUGUGACCACAGGCAAGGGGAAACAGUCAGCUGGCCGAAGCCGUCUCCGCCUGCAGCCUUGUGGCAGACAGACGGCUACAAGACUGGGAUUGAUUCUCACAUCUAACUCUCAGCAAGGAGGCAGACAAAACCGCCUCCAAAAGAAUCUCAAGUAUUUCUUCUAAAUAGAUUAGUUUGAAGGAAAACAUCCAGCCUGCUUAGAUUGUGAAAU